GACGAACGCUGGCGGCGUGCCUAAUACAUGCCAGUAGAACGCUGAAGGAGGAGCUUGCUUCUCCGGAUGAGUUGCGAACGGGUGAGUAACGCGUAGGUAACCUGCCUGGUAGCGGGGGAUAACUAUUGGAAACGAUAGCUAAUACCGCAUAAGAGUAGAUGUUGCAUGACAUUUGCUUAAAAGGUGCAAUUGCAUCACUACCAGAUGGACCUGCGUUGUAUUAGCUGGUUGGUGGGGUAACGGCUCACCAAGGCGACGAUACAUAGCCGACCUGAGAGGGGGGUCGGCCACACUGGGACUGAGACCCGGCCCAGACGCCUACGGGAGGCAGCAGUAGGGAAUCUUCGGCAAUGGACGGAAGUCUGACCGAGCAACGCCGCGUGAGUGAAGAAGGUUGUCGGAUCGUAAAGCUCGGUUGUAAGAGAAGAACGAGUGUGAGAGUGGAAAGUUCACACUGUGACGGUAUCUUACCAGAAAGGGACGGCUAACUACGUG
Molecule: ribosomal RNA, 495 nt
Filed under: uncultured bacterium
Lineage: Bacteria
Description: partial 16S ribosomal RNA
Rfam family: Bacterial small subunit ribosomal RNA
Source: RNAcentral